RNAcentral lists this ribosomal RNA (105 nucleotides) under uncultured bacterium. RNAcentral describes it as "partial 16S ribosomal RNA". It matches the Rfam family "Bacterial small subunit ribosomal RNA", at positions 1378 to 1482 of the family's 1533-position model. The record is from RNAcentral.
CCGUUGUACACACCGCCCGUCACACCAUGGGAGUGGGUUUCACCAGAAGUAGGUAGCCUAACCGCAAGGGGGGCGCUUACCACGGUGAGAUUCAUGACUGGGGUG